AGAUCUGUUACAAAGCCAACUAUCAUCUACACAAGAAGACUUAGACCCCCAUGUGAAGGGGAGACCACAACAAAAUAAUGUACUGGGGCCUAUAAAUACAGUAAAGGCUGAAAUAAGAAGGGGAGAGAAAGCAGAGAGUAGAGAGGGAGAUCUGUCCCUAGAGAGGUCCGAUUCGGGCUCUCCUAUUCCCUGAGGAUCAAUCCGACCUCAAGGACUUGUCCUACUAUCUGUGAACCUCUUUUGUCUUCUAUUUCCUACUUUCAGUUGUUCUACCUGAUUCUUCUAUACAACAAGAGUUGAAUUCCCUGUUGAACCUCGAAUACGGUAAGGUUAGGGCAAGAAUUAAUUCAAAUCUCAAGAGGUUCGUAACACUGGUAUCAGAGCCAGACGUCCUGGCCCCUUGCGAGAGAUCAAAAAACUACUGCAAGCACAAGUGAUUGGAGCAAGAUUCUGUUUGCGCCCUAAUAAGAUUGAAUUAACAAGGCUGAACAGAAAUUCAUUCAAGAUCUGAACUACAACAAAUUCAAGAAACGGAGGUAAAUCUUACAACGAAUUCGUUUGACCAUAUCUCAUAAAGUCAGAACGUUGGAAGAAGAUUAACAGGUCUACAACAGGAAGAAGAUCAUCCAAAAUAUCCUGGAACCUAUUUCGAUCGGCGGAUGCUCACCAGAUCUAAGGCACAUCAAAUGGCUUCGCUAGAAGAAGAGGUUGCAUCUUUGAAACAAGGAUAUGCUAAGCAAGAACAAUCCCUACUCGAGCAAAGAGAAAUCCUUAACCAGAUUCUCCAGAAAUUAUCCACAAAGGAUCCGCACUCCAAUUCACAUUCAAAUGAAGAUCCAAGAGAGGAACCGAAGCAACAAAAUACUGUCACCACUCAUUCAAACCAAACUUCACAAGGUGGGCAAGCAUAGACAUAUCAGAGGAUAGAGUUACCAGUCUUCCAUAGAGAUGGCCCCGAGGGAUGGAUCAGGCGUGCUGAGAGGUAUUUCUGCCUAAACCCUAUGUCAGAACAUGAUAGACUCAAGCAAAUUAUGCUAAGUAUGGAGGGAGAAGCCCUAGAAUGGUAUCUAUGGAAGGAAGACAGAUUUUAAUUCCGAGAUUGGCAUGACUUCAAAAGUCAACUGAAGAAACGGUUCAAGACCUCUGAGACAGGGAGUUCACUGCAACAACUAAUGAGCUUACAACAAACUAGAUCAGUAAGAGAAUACAUGGCUGAGUUUGAACGAAUUGCAGCUUUUCUACCGCAUGUCAACACAGAAGUAUUAGAAGAUGCAUAUGUGAGGGGUUUAAAACCAAACAUCAGAUCGGAAUUGGCAAUGCAUAACCCUUUGGGACUAAGAGAGACAAUGGAUUUAUCAAUCCAAGCUAAGAUUCAUCUUUGGGAAAUUCAAAACAACAGAAAUGAAUUCUUUGGGAAGCAAGCGACUACCAAGCUUGAACCAUCUCAACUUCAUUAUGACUCCUAUAAAAGAGAAUUCCAUAAUACAAAUAACAGAGUUAAUUAUAGGAAUGAUUAUCAGGAUUCAGUUGAAAGCACACCAAAGGGAAAUUCUAUAACAUCCAAGCCACCUGUGAAUAACCGCAUAAUACUUAAGUUGAUGGAUCAAGAAUUUCAAAAGAAGAAAAAUAAGGGAUUAUGCUACUACUACAAUGAAAAAUUCGCUCCAAGGCAUCGCUGUAAAAAAGAAUUGAAUAUUAUUAUUGUGGAUGAAGACCAGACGAGUGCAGAAGAUGACUACACAAAUGAAGGGUGGGAACUAUUUGAUUAGGUCAUAUCCAACACAAAUGAGAAGGCUUUCACUGCAUAUGUAACUUUAAAUUCAAUAAUGGGGAUCACUCAACAUGGAACUAUGAAACUAUGGGGCAAAAUUCAUGACAUUGAUGUGUCAAUACUCAUCGACAGCAGGGCAACUCACAAUUUUUUGUGCACCAAAAUAAUUGAAAAAUUAUCUUUACUAAUGGAGAAGUUAAAUGGCUACAACAUAGUUAUGGGCAAUGGCAACACAGUGGCAGGUGCAGCAAUUUGCAAGGUUAUAUCGCUCCAUGCACAAGAUGUUUUGAUAGUGCAAGAUUUCUUACCAUUAGAAUUGAGUGGCACUGAUGUGAUCCUACGCAUACAGUGGUUGAGAACUUUGAGGUGGAUCCUUUCCAACUAUGAGAAGUUUAUAAUGAGAUUCAUGAUGGGAGACAAGGUUCAUAUCUUCAAAGGGGACCCUGGUAUUACAAAAAUUAGUAUAUCACCAAGAAGAGCAGAGAAGGAAUUGAAGAGUAGCAAGGCAUAUAUGGUCGAAUAACAUCAUAUUCACUCACAAGAAGAUCUUAAUGCACCCAAUGGUUUAGAAAUCAGUCUGAAACAAGAAUUUCCCAAGGUUUUUCAAGUAUUGACAAGAAUACCACCUGAACACCCUAUUGACCACACCAUUCAUCUAUUACCAGGAACAAAAUCCAUUAACUUGAGGCCUUAUAAAUACUUUCAUUUCCGAGAAAAAAAAAUUUGAUGAAAUUAAGACACUCAUCCAAGAACUCCUAUCAACAGAGGACAUUAAGGUUCACAGGGUAACUCCUCAAGACACAGAGAUAUUAGUUUCAUGGAAACAUCUUUCGGAGUUUGAAUCAUCAUGGAUGACAAUAUCAGCAUUCCUUCAACAAUUUCUUACAUCUCACCUUGUGGACAAGGUGAAACUCAUGGGGGGAAGUAAUGUUACAAAGCCAACUAUCAUCUACACAAGAAGACUUAGACCCCCAUGUGAAGGGGAGACCACAACAAAAUAAUGUACUGGGGCCUAUAAAUAUAGUAAAGGCUGAAAUAAGAAGGGGAGAGAAAGCAGAGAGUAGAGAGGGAGAUCUGUCCCUAGAGAGGUCCGAUUCGGGCUCUCCUAUUCCCUGAGGAUCAAUCCGACCUCAAGGACUUGUCCUACUAUCUGUGAACCUCUUUUGUCUUCUAUUUCCUACUUUCAGUUGUUCUACCUGAUUCUUCUAUACAACAAGAGUUGAAUUCCCUGUUGAACCUCGAAUACGGUAAGGUUAGGGUAAGAAUUGAUUCAAAUCUCAGGAGGUUCGUAACAAGAUCCAAUGCAGACAUCACUUAGGCAACAGGUAGUACCAAAAUGCAUUAAAUAUAGAAAAGGGAGGAACAUAUAACAGUCGGGUGAGAUUUCAACGAAUUGGAGACCUAUACACAGAUUUCACAUGAUCUAUACCAACAUGGCGUAACCCAAGUUAAGGCCCAAAUCCCGUCAAAAUUGAAGAACUAAGAACCCUCCUCAUUGCAAAAUCUCAAUCCCACUGUCUCACUUUAGAGCAGAUAGAAAUGAAAAGUCUCUCUACUGAACAAAUUUAGCACCUAAAAAUCAGGGUGUUCCUUCAUUCCAAAGUGUGCCAAGGAUCAGAAGUCAGAUAUUGCAUUUACCUAGAAUGAAGUUAUGCAUAUAAUAAAACAGCAAUUCAGAAUAAAAAUUACAGUAGAAUCUUAUAAAUCUCUAUAAAACGAAAUAUCUUAGCGGUCUAAGCAAAAUUGAAACUCUCCAAGACACUAAUUUAAUCAAUCAGAUGUUCUUCCAAGGUUUCUUGGUGAACAAGCCCAAGAAGAUAACUUUCACACUUGGUGCAGAUAAAGCAUGGCAAUUUCAAGCAUGGUUUUCUAGGAUGGUCUGACUCCAUCCAACUUGUACAGAUUUGAUCCAUUUUCAUAGCUUUGAUUCCGAAGAUACAUCGGAAGACCUGGGGAAAUUUUCCGUAAGAUUAUUUUAGCGAUAAAGUUAUAUGAGCUAAGUUGGACAAAGCCAAGUCAUGAAAAAGUCACCAUAAUCCGGCCUGGUUCUCUCUCUUCCUAAAUCUCAUCACCGUAGAGUCAGCCAGCCUUGCUCUGGACUGUCUAUCUUAAUGCUACAAAGAAAGAUGGACCGAGGAGCAGGGCCAGUGCUGCAGAGAAUCAGGGAAGUGAUCACCAGGUAGGAAUAAACGCAGUUUUGUGACCUUUCAUUGUCGACCAGUUGAAUCAUACAUACCAGCACCAUUGUAGGCAGAAAGCAACAACUUCCUAGAGAUUUUGAAGGGAUGCCGAGGGCAUGAAGCAGGGCCAUUCCCACCUGCUAUAAUUGAGGGUGGGCUGACCAACGAAAUAAUGCCUCCAGGAGAGAGGAGACUCGAUAAAAGAUUACUUGUGAAGACAUUUAUAAUACAGAGAAAAGUCUCGAUGGAAAUUGGUUGAUAUACAAAAAAGCUUCCACAGGAGACUAAUAAGAUUCCAAUUAGAAUCCCCUAAAACCUUAGCUUUUUCUAAUUAGUUGUCCUAACCAGGUCUUUCUCGGUGUAUCUAAGAUAAGGAAAUUUCAUACAUCUAAUUUUGGUGGAUUUGGAGAUGUAUAGUCAGGGUUUUAGCUAGCUGAUUACUCCUAGUAGAUUUUUUGUAGUGCUUCCCAAGUAAUAAACUGUACUACUGGAAGCAUAAACAAAAGGGAUAACGACUAUUUCACCACAGUUCAAAAUUUAUGUGAAUAUAAGUUACCUUUUAUCUUAGUUAGUUUGACUGAUUUGCUGUCAGACUAAAAAAAGGUCAUAGUAACUACAAUAAGUCAGAUACACAGGGAAGUGAAUGUGGAUUUUUAGCCGAUAAUGAG
RNAcentral lists this long non-coding RNA (4619 nucleotides) under Spirodela polyrhiza (greater duckweed). RNAcentral describes it as "long non-coding RNA (SPOL_LNC002472)". Lineage: Eukaryota; Viridiplantae; Streptophyta; Magnoliopsida; Alismatales; Araceae. The record is from RNAcentral.